GACGAACGCUGGCGGCGUGCUUAACACAUGCAAGUCGAACGAUGAAGCCAGCUUGCUGGUGGAUUAGUGGCGAACGGGUGAGUAACACGUGGGUGAUCUGCCCCAAACUUUGGGAUAAGCCUGGGAAACUGGGUCUAAUACCGAAUAUGACCGAUACUCGCAUGGGUGUUGGUGGAAAGCUCCGGCGGUUUGGGGUGGGCCCGCGGCCUAUCAGCUUGUUGGUGGGGUAAUGGCCUACCAAGGCGACGACGGGUAGCCGGCCUGAGAGGGCGACCGGCCACACUGGGACUGAGACACGGCCCAGACUCCUACGGGAGGCAGCAGUGGGGAAUAUUGCACAAUGGGCGCAAGCCUGAUGCAGCGACGCCGCGUGAGGGAUGACGGCCUUCGGGUUGUAAACCUCUUUCACCAGGGACGAAGCGAAAGUGACGGUACCUGGAGAAGAAGCACCGGCCAACUACGUG
RNAcentral lists this ribosomal RNA (464 nucleotides) under uncultured bacterium. RNAcentral describes it as "partial 16S ribosomal RNA". It matches the Rfam family "Bacterial small subunit ribosomal RNA", at positions 28 to 507 of the family's 1533-position model. The record is from RNAcentral.